Potamilus streckersoni is the source of this 73-nucleotide non-coding RNA. The record is from the annotation of a GenBank genome assembly. NCBI's taxonomy places the organism in Eukaryota, Metazoa, Mollusca, Bivalvia, Unionida, Unionidae.
GCCUCGGUGGCCUAUUGGUUAGAGCGUCCGCCUCGGAUGCAGGAGGUCGCGGGUUCUAACCCAGGUCGAGUCA